UACAGAGACUGCAAGCGUUAUUCGGAUUCACUGGGCGUAAAGGGUGCGCAGGCGGCCGUGUGUGUCAGGUGUGAAAUCCCGGGGCUUAACCCCGGAACUGCGCCUGAAACUACACGGCUAGAGUAUUGGAGAGGGUAGCGGAAUUCACGGUGUAGCAGUGAAAUGCGUAGAUAUCGUGAGGAACACCAGAGGCGAAGGCGGCUACCUGGACAAUUACUGACGCUCAGGCACGAAAGCGUGGGGAGCAAACAGG
RNAcentral lists this ribosomal RNA (253 nucleotides) under uncultured bacterium. RNAcentral's name for it is "partial 16S ribosomal RNA". It matches the Rfam family "Bacterial small subunit ribosomal RNA", at positions 524 to 776 of the family's 1533-position model. The record is from RNAcentral.